GUCAGGAUGGCCGGGUGGUCUAAGAUGUUGCGUUCAGUUCGCGGUCCACUUCGAUGGGCGUGGGUUCGAAUCCCACUUCUGAUA
Non-coding RNA from Trichonephila clavata, 84 nucleotides. The record is from the annotation of a GenBank genome assembly. NCBI's taxonomy places the organism in Eukaryota, Metazoa, Arthropoda, Arachnida, Araneae, Nephilidae.